This 484-nucleotide ribosomal RNA is filed under the name uncultured bacterium. RNAcentral describes it as "partial 16S ribosomal RNA". It matches the Rfam family "Bacterial small subunit ribosomal RNA", at positions 30 to 507 of the family's 1533-position model. The record is from RNAcentral.
AUUGAACGCUGGCGGCAGGCCUAACACAUGCCAGUCGAGCGGAUGAAGGGAGCUUGCUCCUGGAUUCAGCGGCGGACGGGUGAGUAAUGCCUAGGAAUCUGCCUGGUAGUGGGGGAUAACGUCCGGAAACGGGCGCUAAUACCGCAUACGUCCUGAGGGAGAAAGUGGGGGAUCUUCGGACCUCACGCUAUCAGAUGAGCCUAGGUCGGAUUAGCUAGUUGGUGGGGUAAAGGCCUACCAAGGCGACGAUCCGUAACUGGUCUGAGAGGAUGAUCAGUCACACUGGAACUGAGACACGGUCCAGACUCCUACGGGAGGCAGCAGUGGGGAAUAUUGGACAAUGGGCGAAAGCCUGAUCCAGCCAUGCCGCGGGUGUGAAGAAGGUCUUCGGAUUGUAAAGCACUUUAAGUUGGGAGGAAGGGCAGUAAGUUAAUACCUUGCUGUUUUGACGUUACCAACAGAAUAAGCACCGGCUAACUUCGUG